RNAcentral lists this long non-coding RNA (771 nucleotides) under Homo sapiens (human). RNAcentral describes it as "non-protein coding lnc-PLCXD1-3:1". Lineage: Eukaryota; Metazoa; Chordata; Mammalia; Primates; Hominidae. The record is from RNAcentral.
CGAGAGUGAAACUCCAUCUCAAAAAAAGAAAAAAAGGCUGGACACAGUGGCUCACGCCUGUCAUCCCAGCACUUUGGGAGGCUGAGGCGGACAGAUUGCCUGAGCUCAGGAGUUCGAGACCAGCCUGGCCAACAUGUUGAAACCCCGUCUCUACUAAAAUACAAAAGAAAUUAGCUGGGAGUGGUGGCAGGUGCCUGUAAUCCCAGCUACUCAGGAGGCUGAGGCAGGAGAAUUGCUUGAACCUGGGACACGGAGGUUGCAGUGAGACGAGAUUGCCCCAUCGCACUCCAGCCUGCAACAGAGCGAGACUCCUUAACAAGGGAGGCUAUUCUGACACCUGCUACCAUGUGGAAGAAGCUUGACAAUAUUGACCAAUCAGCCAGACACAGAAAGACAAGUCCUGUGUGAUUCCACUUCGAGGAGGUCCCUCGAGUCACCAGAGUCACAGAGACAGAAAGUAUAACGACGCUGAAACUCGGGAGCUUUUGGCGGCCGAGCUGCGUGAAGGGACUUCAAGAGACGAGGAGACGGACCCCGUGGAAACCUCUCCCACCUGGCGAUUGUAGGGGAAGGAGCUUCUAUUCUUGACCCAGCCCACGACACGUGCCGGGGCUGUCAGCGCCGUGAGAGGCACCUGUGUCUCCCCGAGCUGAGGACGGAUGACAUUUGUACCUACAGGGGUAAAAAAAGAUAAAGCAAACACGGAACAGCACACUCCUCCCGGCCUUCCUUCUUCUGACACCGUUUUCCUUUAGAAGAUCUGAAACUACA